Molecule: long non-coding RNA, 2520 nt
Filed under: Lathyrus oleraceus (garden pea)
Lineage: Eukaryota; Viridiplantae; Streptophyta; Magnoliopsida; Fabales; Fabaceae
Description: Pisum sativum (pea) long non-coding RNA (PSAT_LNC034979)
Rfam family: tRNA (bases 198-268)
Source: RNAcentral
AACUAACAGAUGCAAAUAAGAGUAUGCAAAGGAAUCUAUCUUGAUUCUUUCUUUUUUACUUAAUGAAAGGGGAAAUAAAACAUAGGUCUUUGUAUUCCUACCUAUUAGUAUGAUUCAUUACCUUACUACUUCUAAGNGUGACUGAAAAGGUAUACGUUAGUUUUUUUAUAUUCUAAUCUAUUUUUUUGUAUCAUUUGGGCGGCAUGGCCGAGUGGUAAGGCGGGGGACUGCAAAUCCUUUUUCCCCAGUUCAAAUCCGGGUGUCACCUGAUCGACAAGAUAAUCAAAAAAAAAAAAUUCUAUUCGAUUUCCAGUCUACGAAAAAGAAAACUCUUUCUUUUGGGUAAUCCAUAGUAAAAGAAUUUACUAGCCUGUUUUCCAAUUGUUUUAGAGAAUGAAUCGGGACGGGAUACAAUAAGGAUUAGAUCCAAGGGAACUAACAGAUGCAAAUAAGAGUAUGCAAAGGAAUCUAUCUUGAUUCUUUCUUUUUUACUUAAUGAAAGGGGAAAUAAAACAUAGGUCUUCGUAUUCCUACCUAUUAGUAUGAUUCAUUACCUUACUACUUCUAAGUAUAUUUUUUAUUUAUGCUUCCAAUUUGUCAAUUCUACUCCAAAUCUGAUAAGAACUUGCUAGAUGUUCUAAUUGGAUGUUUCGCCAAUGGUGUUAGGAGGGAAUGGAAUCCUUUUUUGACUCUGUACCAGCGAUUCCACUAUUAUUAUAAGAUAUUCUCCAAUUUUUAGUGAAAAAGAAAAACGAAAAGAAUACAAGAAAAAUGAGUAAACAAUAAAAAAAGAAUUAAUAAAAGAAUUGAUUCAUAUUGAUAUAGAUAGGAGACAUAAUUGACAUGGAUAUAGUAAGUCUUGCUUGGGCUGCUUUAAUGGUAGAUUUUACAUUUUCCCUUUCCCUUGUAGUAUGGGGAAGAAGUGGACUCUAAAGGUAAUACUAAUUGAGUUAAGGCAUCAAACUGUCUCAAUUUUUUUCUAGCUGGGGUUCUUCCAGUUUUGAACUAUUUUAUCAAUACUAAUUAAUGAAAUAAAUUUUUAUUUAGAUUUAGAAAUUCUAUUGUAUUCCAGUGGUGUAAUAUAUAUAUAAUCUUGAAAAAAAAAAAAGCUAUUUGAAUCAAACAAAUAUUGAAAUUGUUGCCAUCUUGAUAUCCCGGGAAUCCAGANUAAUUGAGUUAAGGCAUCAAACUGUCUCAAUUUUUUUCUAGCUGGGGUUCUUCCAGUUUUGAACUAUUUUAUUAAUACUAAUUAAUGAAAUAAAUUUUUAUUUAGAUUUAGAAAUUCUAUUGUAUUCUAGUGGUGUAAUAUAUAUAUAAUCUUGAAAAAAAAAAAAGCUAUUUGAAUCAAACAAAUAUUGAAAUUGUUGCCAUCUUGAUAUCCCGGGAAUCCAGAUAAUUGGAAACGGAUUACUAUUCCAAACUUAGUUAUUUUGAAUAUUUAUAUUCAAUUUAAUCAAAUUAAAUUUUGGAAUACUAAAAAGAUUCUUUCUUUUUAUUUAUUAGUUACCGGGAUUCUGAAAAGAAUCGGAAAUCUCAAAAUGAAAAUAAGAAGAGUAAAAAUUGCGUUGCUUUUUCAUUAUUUCAGAUUGAUUGGAACCAAUACAAAGAGAAUCGAUUUAGAUGAAAUGUGGACGCCAUGGAAUUGACAUUCCAUCUAUAUCCAUAGAUCGAUAUCCAUAUAAAAAUCUCAAAAUGAAAAUAAGAAGAAUAAAAAUUGCGUUGCUUUUUCAUUAUUUCAGAUUGAUUGGAACCAAUACAAAGAGAAUCGAUUUAGAUGAAAUGUGGACGCCAUGGAAUUGACAUUCCAUCCAUAUCCAUAGAUCGAUAUCCAUAUAUCCAUAUGAAAAGAAAAUGAUAGAUUGGUUCCUCCAUAUUCACUCUUUUUUUUUUUAGUAAAACAUUCUAUUUUUAUCCUUCCUACCGUAAUAGAUAAUAUAGAAGAAACAAAUUGAUUUUAUUUCUUUCUACUAUAUGGAUUUAAUAGAAUUCUGCUGGUUGUAACCUUCUUUCAUUUUAUUUUAAAGAAUAAAAUUCAUUAGUCGUCCAAUAACACGUAACAAUAAUAGCGGUAGAGACAUAUCCAAGAAUGACUGACCUAUUCAUAAAAACGUUCCUUUAUUCAUUAUUCAUUUAGUCUUCUUUUUUUUAUAUUAUCUGGCUGGGGGGUGGAGCACAACUUCACACCAAAGCACAAUACCUUCCUACCGUAAUAGAUAAUAUAGUAGAAACAAAUUGAUUUUAUUUCUUUCUACUAUAUGGAUUUAAUAGAAUUCUGCUGGUUGUAACCUUCUUUCAUUUUAUUUUAAAGAAUAAAAUUCAUUAGCCGUCCAAUAACACGUAACAAUAAUAGCAGUAGAGACAUAUCCAAGAAUGACUGACCUAUUCAUAAAAACGUUCCUUUAUUCAUUAUUCAUUUAGUCUUCUUUUUUUUAUAUUAUCUGGCUGGGGGGUGAAGCACAACUUCACACCAAAGCACAAUCUAGUUGACAGACAACUGCCAACUUGAUUAUUUUUUUAUGC